CAAGUACUCCCCCCGUUCUGAAUUACUUGUUGCAGGUAUGGAUGUAUCUAAAUGCAUUUUAGUUCUAGAUACAUCCAUUUAGGUGACGAGUAAUUUAGAACGGAGGGAGUAGUAC
Molecule: non-coding RNA, 115 nt
Organism: Triticum urartu
Lineage: Eukaryota; Viridiplantae; Streptophyta; Magnoliopsida; Poales; Poaceae
Source: Rfam